This 253-nucleotide ribosomal RNA is filed under the name uncultured bacterium. RNAcentral's name for it is "partial 16S ribosomal RNA". It matches the Rfam family "Bacterial small subunit ribosomal RNA", at positions 524 to 776 of the family's 1533-position model. The record is from RNAcentral.
UACGGGGGGGGCAAGCGUUGUUCGGAAUUACUGGGCGUAAAGGGCUCGUAGGCGGCCAACUAAGUCAGACGUGAAAUCCCUCGGCUUAACCGGGGAACGGCGUCUGAUACUGGAUGGCUUGAAUCCGGGAGAGGGAUGCGGAAUUCCAGGUGUAGCGGUGAAAUGCGUAGAUAUCUGGAGGAACACCGGUGGCGAAGGCGGCGUUCUGGACUGCAACUGACACUGAGGAACGAAAGCCAGGGUAGCAAACAGG